This 2105-nucleotide unclassified non-coding RNA is filed under the name Schistocerca americana (American grasshopper). Its description in RNAcentral is "trehalase-like, transcript variant X2". The record is from RNAcentral. Lineage: Eukaryota; Metazoa; Arthropoda; Insecta; Orthoptera; Acrididae.
CGUGCCUACCGAGAGGUCGUGGUUAUGAUGCCGCUGGUGCUGCUGCUCCUGCUGCUGCCCCAGCCGCAACCGUCCGUGUCUGCCGAGAAGCCGCCACCAUGCAACAGCAACAUCUAUUGCUAUGGAGAUCUCCUGCACACGGUACAAAUGGCCUCCGUACACGACGAUUCCAAAACAUUUGUAGACAUGAAGAUGAAAUUCUCUCCAAAUGAAACACUGGAACGUUUUGAAAAAUUCAUGAACAGAACAAACAGAAUGCCAGAUAAACUUCAAGUCGAACUGUUUGUGAAUGCUACGUUCGACCCUCCUGGCAGUGAGUUUGAGCCAUGGGAUCCAGUGGACUGGGUAGAAAAUCCAGCUUUCCUGGACAGAAUCGAUGACCCAUUGUACCGCGAAUGGGCAUCAGAGCUGAACCAUUUCUGGAAAAACCUUGGGAGGAAGAUUAAGGAUGACGUCAGGGAACAUCCGGAACAGUACUCAAUUAUUUACGUUCCGAAUCCAGUGAUCGUCCCCGGAGGUCGAUUUCGUGAGUUUUACUACUGGGACUCCUACUGGAUCGCAAGAGGUCUCCUGUACAGUGAAAUGUACGCCACCGUUAAAGGAAUGCUGAAAAAUUUUCUGGAAAUUGUCAACACCUAUGGUUUAGUACCAAAUGGUGGGAGGAUUUACUACAUAAUGCGUUCACAUCCUCCAUUACUCAUACCUAUGUUCAAAAGCUACUAUGAAUUCACAAAGGAUAUUGACUUCUUGAACGAGAGUAUAUCAACACUGGAGAGAGAAUUUGACUACUGGAUGAAGAAUCGUACUGUGACCGUCGAGAAAGAUGGAGUGAAGUACACCUUGGCGAGAUACAGCGACGAUUCAAGCGGGCCUCGUCCAGAAUCAUACAGUGAAGAUGCCCAUAACGCAAGGAUCUAUAAGACAGUGAAAGAGAAAAAUGAGUUUUAUUCUGAACUCAAAGCUGCUGCAGAAUCUGGAUGGGACUUUUCUACAAGGUGGUUUAUGCUAAAUGGUACAAAUAAAGGGAACCUGACACUGCUAAAAACACGGCAGAUCAUUCCAGUUGAUCUAAAUGCCUUUAUUUACUGGAAUGCAAAAAUUUUGGAGGACUUCUGGCGAAUGCUUGGCAAUCCAACCAAAGCUGAAUACUACAGAGAUAUAGCAGAAAAAUGGAAAGAGGCUGUAACUGCUGUCCUGUGGCAUGAUGAAGUUGGUGCCUGGCUUGAUUAUGAUAUGUUAAAUGAUAUUAAACGUGAUUAUUUUUAUCCAAGCAAUAUUUCACCAUUAUGGACAGGCUGCUAUGAUAAAAAUGAUCAUACAAAAAUUGGAAAAAUCCUGAAAUAUUUAGAGAAGAGCCAGGUAAUGAGUAGUCGAGGAGGUAUACCAACCUCACUUGAACAUUCAGGUGAACAGUGGGACUAUCCCAACGCAUGGCCUCCAUUGCAGUACAUAAUGAUCUAUGGCCUUGAUCAGACUGAUGAUGAAUGGGCUCAAGGUCUGGCACUUGAAAUAGCAGACAUGUGGGUCAGAUCAAACUUCAUUGCUUUCAAUAGCACAAAAUGUAUGUAUGAAAAGUAUGAUGCCACCCUCAUUGGUGUUGGGGGUGGAGGUGGAGAGUAUCGUGUACAGCUUGGUUUUGGCUGGACAAAUGGUAUUAUUUUGGAGCUGUUGAAUAAAUAUGGCCAUCAACUGCAAGUUGUUGACAAAUUUAAAGCAAAAGCUGAACAGAGCACAGCAUCUGGUGUGCAAGCUAGUGGAGGCCAAGUGUUAACAGCAGUGCUUGUUCUUCUCGGCACAUUGGCUAUCGGCAGCAUAGGGUGAGAUUCAUGUGCCUUUAUUCAGUUAGCAGAUAAGGACUAAUGCAUGACUGUUAACUACUGACUAUAAGUUCAAGCAGCACAUCUCUGAAAAGUGCAUUCAGUUAUUCCCACUUCAAUGAUGGCGCUGUUCCCAGCCAAAAAUGUAAUCCUCCCUCAUGGUUGACAAAUAGUUGCUGAUGUAUAAGAGAUGGGCUCAAACUACCACAUCACCAACUGCAGCCAGAACUCAGAGAAAGCGUGGAAUCUUCCCAAAGCUUUGUGGAGGUUAUACAGAAUUAAAGGAUC